RNAcentral lists this ribosomal RNA (515 nucleotides) under Dundonannus sp. 13 SL-2016. RNAcentral's name for it is "eukaryotic LSU rRNA". It matches the Rfam family "Eukaryotic large subunit ribosomal RNA", at positions 667 to 1140 of the family's 3401-position model. Lineage: Eukaryota; Metazoa; Arthropoda; Insecta; Hemiptera; Schizopteridae. The record is from RNAcentral.
CAAGGAGUCUAACAUGUGCGCAAGUCAUUGGGUUAGUAAACCUAAAGGCGAAACAAAAGUAAAGUAAGCAAUGCUUUAAAAUAAGGAGGAUGGUUAUUUAAUUUUUUUUAAAUAGCCCGCACUCCUGGGGCGUCUGUUACUCAUUGCGAGUUAAGGCGCACCUAGAGCGUACACGUUGGGACCCGAAAGAUGGUGAACUAUGCUUGGCCAGGAUGAAGUCAGGGGAAACCCUGAUGGAGGUCCGUAGCGAUUCUGACGUGCAAAUCGAUCGUCAGAGCUAAGUAUAGGGGCGAAAGACCAAUCGAACUAUCUAGUAGCUGGUUCCCUCCGAAGUUUCCCUCAGGAUAGCUGGUGCCAAUGAUGAUAUUGAGUCUCAUCUGGUAAAGCGAAUGAUUAGAGGCAUUGGGGCCGAAACGACCUCAACCUAUUCUCAAACUUUAAAUGGAUGAGAGCCCUGGCUUGCUUAAAAUUGAAGCCAGGGAGUUGGAUCUAGGUGCCAAGUGGGCCAAUUUUGG